RNAcentral lists this ribosomal RNA (204 nucleotides) under Halomonas sp. CA3-1I. RNAcentral describes it as "partial 16S ribosomal RNA". It matches the Rfam family "Bacterial small subunit ribosomal RNA", at positions 1329 to 1532 of the family's 1533-position model. RNAcentral also lists the same sequence under 1 other name. Lineage: Bacteria; Pseudomonadati; Pseudomonadota; Gammaproteobacteria; Oceanospirillales; Halomonadaceae. The record is from RNAcentral.
GAAUCGCUAGUAAUCGUGGAUCAGAAUGUCACGGUGAAUACGUUCCCGGGCCUUGUACACACCGCCCGUCACACCAUGGGAGUGGACUGCACCAGAAGUGGUUAGCUUAACCUUCGGGGGAGCGAUCACCACGGUGUGGUUCAUGACUGGGGUGAAGUCGUAACAAGGUAGCCGUAGGGGAACCUGCGGCUGGAUCACCUCCUU